This is a non-coding RNA of Pangasius djambal, 73 nucleotides long. Lineage: Eukaryota; Metazoa; Chordata; Actinopteri; Siluriformes; Pangasiidae. The record is from the annotation of a GenBank genome assembly.
UCCCUGGUGGUAUAGCGACUAUGGAUUCCGCGCUCUCACCGCCGCGGCCCGGGUUCAAUUCCCAGGCAGGGAA